UACAGAGGGGGCAAGCGUUGUUCGGAAUUACUGGGCGUAAAGGGCGCGUAGGCGGCCUGUUAAGUCGAACGUGAAAUCCCCGGGCUCAACCCGGGAACUGCGUCCGAUACUGGCAGGCUUGAGUUCGGGAGAGGGAUGUGGAAUUCCAGGUGUAGCGGUGAAAUGCGUAGAUAUCUGGAGGAACACCGGUGGCGAAGGCGGCAUCCUGGACCGAUAUUGACGCUGAUGCGCGAAAGCCAGGGGAGCAAACGGG
This 253-nucleotide ribosomal RNA is filed under the name uncultured bacterium. Its description in RNAcentral is "partial 16S ribosomal RNA". It matches the Rfam family "Bacterial small subunit ribosomal RNA", at positions 524 to 776 of the family's 1533-position model. The record is from RNAcentral.